UACGUAGGGUGCGAGCGUUGUCCGGAAUUAUUGGGCGUAAAGGGCUCGUAGGCGGUUUGUCGCGUCGGGAGUGAAAACGCCGGGCUUAACUCGGUGCUUGCUUUCGAUACGGGCAGACUAGAGGCAUGCAGGGGAGAACGGAAUUCCUGGUGUAGCGGUGAAAUGCGCAGAUAUCAGGAGGAACACCGGUGGCGAAGGCGGGUCUCUGGGCCGUAACUGACGCUGAGGAGCGAAAGCGUGGGGAGCGAACAGG
RNAcentral lists this ribosomal RNA (253 nucleotides) under uncultured bacterium. RNAcentral describes it as "partial 16S ribosomal RNA". It matches the Rfam family "Bacterial small subunit ribosomal RNA", at positions 524 to 776 of the family's 1533-position model. The record is from RNAcentral.